Molecule: ribosomal RNA, 301 nt
Filed under: uncultured bacterium
Lineage: Bacteria
Description: partial 16S ribosomal RNA
Rfam family: Bacterial small subunit ribosomal RNA
Source: RNAcentral
CAGCCGCCGCGGGAAAACCGAGGGUGCAAGCGUUAAUCGGAAUUACUGGGCGUAAAGCGCGCGUAGGUGGUUUGUUAAGUUGGAUGUGAAAGCCCCGGGCUCAACCUGGGAACUGCAUCCAAAACUGGCAAGCUAGAGUACGGUAGAGGGUGGUGGAAUUUCCUGUGUAGCGGUGAAAUGCGUAGAUAUAGGAAGGAACACCAGUGGCGAAGGCGACCACCUGGACUGAUACUGACACUGAGGUGCGAAAGCGUGGGGAGCAAACAGGAUUAGAUACCCCUGUAGUCCCUGUCUCUUAUAC